Molecule: long non-coding RNA, 1680 nt
Organism: Equus caballus (horse)
Lineage: Eukaryota; Metazoa; Chordata; Mammalia; Perissodactyla; Equidae
Source: Ensembl
GAAAGGAUCACUGAAGGUGGCUUAAUCCACAUGUAUGAGAAGAUGACUCUCUUACCGUCCCCUCAAGAGGACCAUCCAGUGUCUUCACGAAGAGGGAGACGAUACCUUGCCUUCUCUGGAUAGUGAAUGAGUCCUAGAAUGGCCAAGAAAUCUUUCCACGGUCCCAGCUCUUGCAUGGGAGGGAGUAGAGGAAAUUUUAUAAAACCCACACACCUCCUGUAAGCCUGGAGUGGACUCUUGCCUGUCUCUGCGGGACCAGGAUCAGAACGCAAACUCAGGCGCACUGUGGCGGCUUCAGCUGCAGAGUAUCUAACUGCGUAAUGAGCAUCCAUAUGCAUUAGCGGAGAUUGACUCCCAGCCCCAAAACAAGAGGAAGCUCUGACUGGCUGAAGACAAUCAACAUCUUUUGGGUGCCCAGCUGCGGUCCCCAGUUCAGGAGCGGACAUGUGACCCACGUAGGUGCAACUGAGGAGACUCGCCAAACGCUCGCUUGAACUGUGGAAACGGAAGUGCUCGUGCUGCGCCCCGGAUGCAAAUGAGAAAGCAGGAAGCAUUGUCUGUUGUAACCACAUUGCAAUCAUGAAAAAAGCCAGCUUGAGAAUGAAGAUGACUUGCAAAAUAACUGGAAAAGAAAUGACAGAGAAACCAAGCCGUAGCAGUGAUCACACUGCACCCCAAACUGGUAAUUCCUCUGAACAUUUCAGUUCUAUGUCAGGAAGGUCCCUUUAUUUUUAUGUCCAUUGGAGCUGAGUUUUCUGUUGCUUGGAAAUGAAUGACUGCAUCUGUGGAUCCCCAGCUUUUAAAAGUGCCCUCAUCCGUCACAGGAUGGGUUGUAACGUCUGGACUGAAAUCGCAUGAUUCGUAUGAAAGUGCUUUGUAAAUCCUAAAAUUCUGUAGAAAGGUUAAGAGAAUAUUGCUCUUGCCCUGAAAACAUCUGUAAGUAAAAGAGUUAAUCUUUCUCCAGGGCCCCAAAAGACAAUUUAGUUAAAUGUAAGGAAAGAGGCAGAAUGAAGGAUUCAUUUUGAUAACAAUUGGCUUUGAGAAGCAAAAGCCAAUUAUUCAAAGCUUCCUGCUUAUUUACUCGGUUCUAUUUAAGAGGAUCCGUCAGGCUGAGCAGGAUUUGCCCUAACUGGAUCGGUUCAGAGAGAGCUGCGAAGCUGCAAAUUCACUCUCAGGAAAAUUCCAUCUCUGUUCGAGAGUUGGAGGAGGCGAUGAAGAGCCAGCUCUCUUAAGAGUCCCUGGGGUUGGGGGGGGCCAUCCUCUGUGCUGCUCAGGAAAACUCUGGUCUGAGGAUGGUGCAGAAUAGUCAACGGAAGUGGGCUCGCUGUUGGUCUUCCUGUUGGUGCAAAGGACUGUGGCCCAUGCCCACGCUCUGUCACUCAAUCUGCACGGACCUCUCUGAGCUUCAGUCGCUUCAUCUGCAGAAUGGGACUGAGGGCAAUGCCAAGCCUCAUCACGGCAUGUGUUAGCUAGAAAUGGGUGUGAUUUCAUUCUUCUUGCCAUUUUAUGGAAAAGGAGAGAGGGAGGCAAGACCUAAAAAAAACUCCCAGGGGUAAGCAGAGGAUACAGAUGACAAUGACAUGGAUUCUGCAUUACUCCUCAGACAAAAAUUUCUGCCACCGCCUCUUAUCUUGCCAUAGAGGCACUCAACAGUCAAGAAUCCGUUGAGUGCCCACGACG